Sinocyclocheilus anshuiensis is the source of this 116-nucleotide long non-coding RNA. RefSeq lists it as uncharacterized. The transcript has 3 exons. The record is from RefSeq and is a predicted model, not a curated record. Lineage: Eukaryota; Metazoa; Chordata; Actinopteri; Cypriniformes; Cyprinidae.
ACAAUGAAAAUAAAAUAAGAACAUUUCCAGAAUAAAGUCAUUAGCCUACAAUGCGAGAUUAAACUAAUUAAAUAUCCAGAAAAAUGUAGAAAUAAAAUAUUGAGAAUAAAAAUAAU